ACGAUAUUCCGCUGUUGGUUAUCCGACAAGAAUGUCGG
Molecule: regulatory RNA element, 38 nt
Rfam family: Ribosomal protein L19 leader
About the family: This family is a putative r-protein leader autoregulatory structure found in B. subtilis and other low-GC Gram-positive bacteria. It is located in the 5' untranslated regions of mRNAs encoding ribosomal protein L19 (rplS).
Source: Rfam